GUAAGUGUCAUUCUAUGAUUUGACAUAUUCGACUGUUUCCUGCAGAACUUUAAAAACGCAGUAAUUUCCAAUACAAAACUAUUGAUAAUUAGUUUCCUAUUUGAUAUAUUUUUGUUGAAAGUGCACGGGACAAACAUUACGUGAAAAAAAUUGGACGGUUUCAUAAUUGAUGUAGUUAAACUCUGGUUUUCUCUUAUAGGUUAUCUGUUAAAUAGUUAACUGUUGUGAAAUCCACUAAUAUGGCAGAGGGCGAAUAUGUGCCGGGGGUUGUUUAUGACAUGCCCACCCAGAAUUAUGUUUCUUUUAAUUUCGAGAAAUCAGCACUUGAAUUGGGACGGAUAGUUUGGCCGAAUUAUGAUGAUCAACAUUAUUUGAAAGGGUGCUAUUGGUCACCGGAUGGCACCUGCCUUCUGACAGUGGUGAGGGGCGCUGGGAUGCAUAUUUGUGAAUUACCAAAUGACUUAUAUACCGCGGAUGUGAUGUUGACUAGUAGACCGAUAACACCUUUAACUCCAGCGGUUAGUGUUCCGGAACAAGGCUUAAUAUAUGAUGUAUGCUGGUACCCUGGGAUGAACAGUUCUUCACCUGCAACGUGUUGCUGGCUAUCGAGUGGACAUGAAGGACCUGUACAUCUUUGGGAUGCCUUCACAGGAACAUUGAGAUGUUCUUAUAGGGGUUACAAUUCAGUUGACGAAAUAGAUCCUGCAUUAAGUGUUUGUUUUUCUGCAGAUGGACAAAGUAUUUUUUGUGGUUCCAAAAAAUCAGUUAAAAUAUUCCCAACAAGUCGACCCGGAAGGGAGUAUCUGGCUUACGAUGUUACUCAUCCGGCUUCUUGUAUAGUAGCUAGUGAAGCACAGCCAGGAGUUGUAGCCAUAGGUUCUUGGAAGAACACUAUAGAAUUAGUUUCUCAAAGUGACGGCACAUUCAGACACCUAUGCAAACUGCAGGGUCAUAAAGGUGGUAUUACCACAAUGGCUUUCUCAUUAGAUGGCUACAAAUUGUUCAGUGGGGCCAGAAAGGAUAAAGAAAUAAUUUGUUGGGACUUGAGGGUACCUGGUCGUCCCCUCUUUUGUGUGGGUAGGGAAGUAAAUACGAAUCAAAAAAUUGCCCUUGAUAUAUCUAGAUGCGGCAGAUACUUGGUAUCUGGAGGCACUGAUGGUAAAGUUUUAGCAUGGGACAUAUCACAAAAUGUUACUCCACAGGAAAAUUAUCAGGUUUGUGGUGAAUUUUUAUUUAUGAUUAUUUUUUCGUGUUUAGUUACGUUUGGAAGAUUCUACCAGCACCAGAAACUGGGAAAUUUCUAUAUUAGAUCACAGGAACAACGAUAUGAUGUUGCAACGAUGGAGAUUUAAUUUUUUUCAUAAUUUUAUCCUGAAGAAGUCUUAAAAAAUUUUUGUGAUGCUUAAUGGUUGAAUGAAAGGAGGCCACUCGGAAUAGUUUUCUUAAUUUUUUUAACAUUAUUCUCUUGGUGGUGUUCUUAGAUUUGACAUGAAACAUGAGGUUAAAAUCACUAAAUAUUUGUUAUCAAGAAAUCUUUUCUAUAUCUGCAUGUUGCUGUGCUAACCUUCAUUCAUUUAACUUUGAGUAAGAUUUUAUCAUCAAAUAUACAUUUGUUAUCGUAGAUAUUCUAUUGUUGUGGGAUUUGUUACUUUUCCAUGAAAGUACCGUUUUUUUCACAACGUUCUAGGUUUUAAUGCACUUACAGUUACCAACAAAUUUAAAAGGUGUAACAUGAGACCACCACAACUAUACAUCCCUUAGAGAGCAACUGAAUAUAAACAAUUAAUAAUAAUUACAAUAGUGGAUCCUCUACCAUCUGGGUGUCUGUUAAAAUAUCAUAAGAAUUCGGUGUUACAAUCAUCCGAAUUAUCCAACUGUAGCUUUCCUUUGAAAUGUGGGACGACUCUUGAUUAUUUAGCCACUUCAUUUUUAUUUAAAAAAGACGUUACUUGUCGAAAUAUGAUAGG
RNA transcript from Coccinella septempunctata (seven-spotted ladybird), 1967 nucleotides. It is a transcript of the gene named telomerase Cajal body protein 1 homolog, with no coding region annotated. Lineage: Eukaryota; Metazoa; Arthropoda; Insecta; Coleoptera; Coccinellidae. The record is from RefSeq and is a predicted model, not a curated record. The transcript has 6 exons.